RNAcentral lists this transfer RNA (90 nucleotides) under Planctomycetota bacterium. RNAcentral's name for it is "Planctomycetes bacterium (bioreactor metagenome) tRNA-Ser". It matches the Rfam family "tRNA". From Rfam's summary of the family: Transfer RNA (tRNA) molecules are approximately 80 nucleotides in length. Their secondary structure includes four short double-helical elements and three loops (D, anti-codon, and T loops). Lineage: Bacteria; Pseudomonadati; Planctomycetota. The record is from RNAcentral.
GGAGAGGUGCCAGAGCGGCUGAAUGGGCUGGUUUCGAAAACCAGUUGGCCCGCAAGGGCCACGGGGGUUCGAAUCCCCCCCUCUCCGCCA